Molecule: long non-coding RNA, 1338 nt
Filed under: Capra hircus (goat)
Lineage: Eukaryota; Metazoa; Chordata; Mammalia; Artiodactyla; Bovidae
Description: lncRNA (ENSCHIG00010011561.1)
Source: RNAcentral
AUGCUGUCCAGGUUUGUCAUAGCUUUUCUUCCAAGGAGCAAGUGUCUUUUUUAUUAUGCCUCCCAAAAGACGUUCUGGGCCUGUGCUUUCUCAUCCCAGAGCCCUGGCUGAGUGUCCUGAGGAGGGGUCAUGUCUUGCCUUCACCCUGAUACCCUGAAGCCUCCACGUUGGGCUUCAGAGCUCAGGCAGGAGGGGUGCUGAGCCGGUGCGUGAAUUGUGCAUCGCUUGGUGUCACGUCCAGAGAUUGCUGUCCAGGGAUGGAUGUGAGUAAGGAUGGAGGUCCUCUAACUUACCAUUAAUUUACACUGUGAAUCGCCAAAGGUAUAAAACUGGACCUUUCCAAUCCUGCCGGGUUGACUGUUAAACAUGUGAAAACCGGACAUUUCUGGCCCUGCCAAUGUUCUGCUUGCUUGGUGAACAGGACUGGGUCUCAGCCCAUGGCUGUCCUUCUGCCCACGGCAGGGUCUUCUCAGCAGAGAUUCUUCGAGUCCCCUCUCUGGGGUAAGGGAGGAGAGGUGGUUUCCUGGGGGUUUCCUGCCUGAUGUACUGUUUGCAUCUGUUCUGGACCUCAUCUUCCCUUCAUGUCCAGAGGGCAGGCCUUUCUUUAGACUUUGUGCAAAGGAUCUGCGAGUGUUAAGGAGAAGUGCCAGCUUCUGGGACAUUUAGGGGCUGCCUGCGACCCACCUGUCCUGUAAACCCUGGUGCACAUUUCACAGCGGUGGCCAGGGUUGGAGAGACAGGGUGCACGAUGUUGCUGGGGAGCCCCAGGGAGACUCAGGCCGUUGCUGUGCUUUACCGUGGGGACAUAUAGAGGGCAGCAUCCAGCACAAGAGGGGACAACACGGUUCCUGUUGUAAACUGUCCUCUAACCAAAGCCUGUGGCGCAUUCUAAAACAUGACCAUGGCCACAGGGCCUUCCUGUGAUGGGGUCUUCAUCUCACAAGCCCAGCUGCUCACUAGAGGGUGGUACCGCCUCCCUCAUCAGAGGCUGCUCCCUGCUGAGUGGGACCAGGGCCCUGGGGACAACAUGUCAAGAGCUGCGUGACCCACAGCAGACACACCGCCAAGCUCAAGGCAUCCACCUGUGUGUUUUUUUUUUUUCCCCCAGCAUAGACGGGUCUGAGCAUCAGUCACCAUGACCAGUUUCCCAACCGUGAGCUCCAGAUCAGCCCAGACUCUCACAUCAGGUGGGGAGAGGUGUCGAGGUGGUGUGGAUGGACCUUCCUUCCCCCAUCCUAGGGGAAAACCCCACCGCAGGCAGCACCUGCUUCCCCUGGGGAACUGGGCUCAGCUGAGUUGUACAUCAGGAACUGACAGAGGGAGCGUGGGAUGAUCUAA